This 497-nucleotide ribosomal RNA is filed under the name uncultured bacterium. Its description in RNAcentral is "partial 16S ribosomal RNA". It matches the Rfam family "Bacterial small subunit ribosomal RNA", at positions 28 to 507 of the family's 1533-position model. The record is from RNAcentral.
GAUGAACGCUGGCGGCGUGCCUAAUACAUGCAAGUCGAGCGAACGGACGAGAAGCUUGCUUCUCUGAUGUUAGCGGCGGACGGGUGAGUAACACGUGGAUAACCUACCUAUAAGACUGGUAUAACUUCGGGAAACCGGAGCUAAUACCGGAUAAUAUUUUGAACCGCAUGGUUCAAAAGUAAAAGACGGUCUUGCUGUCACUUAUAGAUGGAUCCGCGCUGCUUUAGCUAGUUGGUAAGGUAACGGCUUACCAAGGCAACGAUGCAUAGACGACCUGAGAGGGGGAUCGGCCACACUGGAGCGGAGCCACGGUCCAGACUACUACGGGAGGCAGCAGUAUGGAAUCUUCCGCAAUGGGCGAAAGCCUGACGGAGCAACGCCGAGUGAGUGAUGAAGGUCUUCGGAUCGUAAAACUCCGUUAUUAGGGAAGAACAUAUGUGGAAGUAACUGUGCACAUCUUGACGGUACCUAAUCAGAAAGCCACGGCUAACUACGUG